GAUGAACGCUGGCGGCGUGCCUAAUACAUGCAAGUCGAGCGAACGGACGAGAAGCUUGCUUCUCUGAUGUUAGCGGCGGACGGGUGAGUAACACGUGGAUAACCUACCUAUAAUACUGGUAUAACUUCGGGAAACCGGAGCUAAUACCGUAUAAUAUUUUGAACCGCAUGGUUCAAAGGUGAAAUACGGUCUUGCUGUCACGUAUAGAUGGAUCCGCGCUGCAUUAGCUAGUUGGUAAGGUAACGGCUUACCAAGGCAACGAUGCAUAGCCGACCUGAGAGGGUGAUCGGCCACACUGGAACUGAGACACGGUCCAGACUCCUACGGGAGGCAGCAGUAGGGAAUCUUACGCAAUGGGCGAAAGCCCGACGGAGCAACGCCGCGUGAGUGAUGAAGGUCUUCGGAUCGUAAAACUCUGUUAUUAGGGAAGAACAUAUGUGUAAGUAACUGUGCACAUCUUGACGGUACCUAAUCAGAAAGCCACGGCUAACUACGUG
RNAcentral lists this ribosomal RNA (497 nucleotides) under uncultured bacterium. RNAcentral describes it as "partial 16S ribosomal RNA". It matches the Rfam family "Bacterial small subunit ribosomal RNA", at positions 28 to 507 of the family's 1533-position model. The record is from RNAcentral.